GCCGUCUUAGCUCAGCAGGAAGAGCGGCUGCCCCGUAAGCAGCGGGCCGAUGGUUCAAGCCCAUCAGGCGGCACCA
RNAcentral lists this transfer RNA (76 nucleotides) under Faecalibacterium duncaniae. RNAcentral describes it as "tRNA-Thr". It matches the Rfam family "tRNA". From Rfam's summary of the family: Transfer RNA (tRNA) molecules are approximately 80 nucleotides in length. Their secondary structure includes four short double-helical elements and three loops (D, anti-codon, and T loops). Further hydrogen bonds mediate the characteristic L-shaped molecular structure. tRNAs have two regions of fundamental functional importance: the anti-codon, which is responsible for specific mRNA codon recognition, and the 3' end, to which the tRNAs corresponding amino acid is attached (by aminoacyl-tRNA synthetases). tRNAs cope with the degeneracy of the genetic code in two manners: having more than one tRNA (with a specific anti-codon) for a particular amino acid; and 'wobble' base-pairing, i.e. permitting non-standard base-pairing at the 3rd anti-codon position. The record is from RNAcentral. RNAcentral also lists the same sequence under 1 other name. Lineage: Bacteria; Bacillati; Bacillota; Clostridia; Eubacteriales; Oscillospiraceae.